RNAcentral lists this long non-coding RNA (199 nucleotides) under Elaeis guineensis (African oil palm). RNAcentral's name for it is "long non-coding RNA (EGUI_LNC030977)". The record is from RNAcentral. Lineage: Eukaryota; Viridiplantae; Streptophyta; Magnoliopsida; Arecales; Arecaceae.
AGAUCCGAUCUAGAAUCUGAUGGACCAAAAUCCACCGGCACAGCCCACAGCCGUCAGCAUGGCCUAAAACCCAUCGAUGGGGGUUCUCUUUAAAUAUUAUUAAUUAUAAAAUUAUAAUAAAUAUUAUUAUAAAUAUUAUAAAUGAUUAUAAAUAUUAUUAUAAAAUAAAUUUUUUAAAAAAAAUUCAUACCUAUGCUGC